Molecule: ribosomal RNA, 1083 nt
Filed under: Triticum aestivum (bread wheat)
Lineage: Eukaryota; Viridiplantae; Streptophyta; Magnoliopsida; Poales; Poaceae
Description: partial small subunit ribosomal RNA
Source: RNAcentral
AUGCCAAUAAAUGUGGAGGAGCAAAAAUUUGUAGAACUUGCCAGAGUUUUUGGGUGUCUAGUUGGAUCAAUGCUGUUCACGUAUCUUGGUCUCCCACUCGGAACAACUAAACCCACGGUUAAGAAGCUAAUGCCUUUAGUGGACAGAAUUGAGAGAAGACUAACGGGAACUGCCAUUUGGUUAUCAUAUGGAGAACAUGUGCAGCUUAUCAACUCAGCUCUCUCAUCGCUACUCUCUUUUGAGAUGUGUUUCCUCAUACUUCCACUCAUAUUGAUUGAGAUCUUUGACAGAGCUAGAAGACUUUGUUUAUGGAGAAAAGAAAUUGACAGAGAUGCUAAAACACAUUCACUUGCUGCAUGGGACCUUGUUUGCCGUCCUAAAAAGAAAGGUGGGCUUGGGGUAAUCAACCUUCAAAUUCAAAACAAUGCCCUACUGCUCGAAUACCUGCACAAGUUUAUGAAUAAGCAUGACACUCUGUGGGUGAUGAUUAUUUGGGAUGCUUACUACUCCGAUGGAGUCCCUCCUCAUGCCAAACCAAGCACUUGCUCUUUCUGGUGGCGUGAUGUGUUCUCGCUGAUUGAUGUGUACUGUGGGAUCACAACUUGUAUGCCGGCGGCGGGAGACACAGUGCUUCUGUGGAAAGAUGUGUGGCUGGAAGAACAACCUUUAAUGAACACCCAUGAACACAUGUUUUCCUUCGCUGUGAAUGAGGACAUCUCUCUGGAACAAUUCUAUAACAACAGUUCACCAGGAGAUAAUUUCAUGUUAACUUUGUCUUUGGAGGCCAGGACAGAAUUGGAGACUCUUCAGAUGACUUUGGCCGGAUUAGUACUGGAUCAGAUGACUACAGAUGAAUGGAUUCUAUGUUGGGGAGACACGAAAUACAAACCAAAAAAGUUCUAUGACUUCAUGUUCAGGAACAUGCAGACACCUCAAAUCAUAACAUCCAUAUGGAAAUCAAAAUGUAUUAUGAGGAACAAGGUUUUUGCGUGGAUAAUGCUCCUCGACAGAAUAAACACAAGGGACUUAUUGCAGAGACGACACUUCAAUAUUGGUGAUGAUCAUAACUGUCCUCUUUGUUAG